Molecule: ribosomal RNA, 428 nt
Filed under: uncultured bacterium
Lineage: Bacteria
Description: bacterial SSU rRNA
Rfam family: Bacterial small subunit ribosomal RNA
Source: RNAcentral
AUUGAACGCUGGCGGCAUGCCUAACACAUGCAAGUCGAACGCGAAAGUCCUUCGGGGCGAGUAGAGUGGCGGACGGGUGAGUAAUACGUGGGAAUCUACCUGGUAGUGGGGGACAACCCGGGGAAACUCGGGCUAAUACCGCAUAUGUCCUACGGGACAAAGGGGGCCUCUGCUUGCAAGCUCUCGCUACCAGAUGAGCCCACGUCCGAUUAGCUAGUUGGUAGGGUAAAGGCCUACCAAGGCGACGAUCGGUAGCUGGUCUGAGAGGAUGGCCAGCCACACUGGGACUGAGACACGGCCCAGACUCCUACGGGAGGCAGCAGUGGGGAAUAUUGGACAAUGGGCGCAAGCCUGACCCAGCAAUGCCGCGUGUGUGAAGAAGGCCUGCGGGUUGUAAAGCACUUUCAGUGGGGAGGAAAAGCCUGGGG